AAGCUCCUGAACUUACACAGUGUAAGACAUUUCUACUACUUGAUAUUGUUGCUUUAGUUUGAAGUAGAUGCAUUUUUUAUUCAUAAUAAAUUUUAGUUAAAACAAUGCGUGACCUAUGAAAUGGGGUCAUCCCAGAAUCAUGCUUCCUUGAUGUUUAAUAGACCAAAUGUUUUGAAGUUUCUAGAUUUGUUAGCCAUGUCAUCACACUUUGAUUCUAAUUUUGACCAACAGGUGGCUGAGCAGAAUCAUGAUGCG
This 255-nucleotide unclassified non-coding RNA is filed under the name Hevea brasiliensis (rubber tree). The record is from RNAcentral. Lineage: Eukaryota; Viridiplantae; Streptophyta; Magnoliopsida; Malpighiales; Euphorbiaceae.